RNAcentral lists this transfer RNA (73 nucleotides) under Patescibacteria group bacterium. RNAcentral's name for it is "tRNA-Pro". It matches the Rfam family "tRNA". Rfam says of the family: Transfer RNA (tRNA) molecules are approximately 80 nucleotides in length. Their secondary structure includes four short double-helical elements and three loops (D, anti-codon, and T loops). Further hydrogen bonds mediate the characteristic L-shaped molecular structure. tRNAs have two regions of fundamental functional importance: the anti-codon, which is responsible for specific mRNA codon recognition, and the 3' end, to which the tRNAs corresponding amino acid is attached (by aminoacyl-tRNA synthetases). tRNAs cope with the degeneracy of the genetic code in two manners: having more than one tRNA (with a specific anti-codon) for a particular amino acid; and 'wobble' base-pairing, i.e. permitting non-standard base-pairing at the 3rd anti-codon position. The record is from RNAcentral. RNAcentral also lists the same sequence under 1 other name.
CGGGAUGUAGCUCAGUUGGUAGAGCGCACGGUUCGGGACCGUGAGGUCGUGAGUUCAAAUCUCGCCAUCCCGA